RNAcentral lists this ribosomal RNA (345 nucleotides) under uncultured archaeon. RNAcentral describes it as "bacterial SSU rRNA". It matches the Rfam family "Archaeal small subunit ribosomal RNA", at positions 691 to 1035 of the family's 1478-position model. The record is from RNAcentral.
CCGACGGUGAGAGGUGAAAGCUAGGGGCACGAACCGGAUUAGAUACCCGGGUAGUCCUAGCCGUAAACGAUACUCGCUAGGUGUCGGCCACGGUGCGACCGUUGUCGGUGCCGUAGGGAAGCCGUGAAGCGAGCCACCUGGGAAGUACGGCCGCAAGGCUGAAACUUAAAGGAAUUGGCGGGGGAGCACCACAACGGGUGGAGCUUGCGGUUUAAUUGGAUUCAACGCCGGAAAUCUUACCGGGACCGACAGCAACAUGAAGGCCAGGCUGAAGACUUUGCCGGAUUAGCUGAGAGGUGGUGCAUGGCCGUCGUCAGUUCGUACUGUGAAGCAUCCUGUUAAGUC